RNAcentral lists this long non-coding RNA (179 nucleotides) under Cavia porcellus (domestic guinea pig). RNAcentral describes it as "lncRNA (ENSCPOG00000039534.1)". The record is from RNAcentral. Lineage: Eukaryota; Metazoa; Chordata; Mammalia; Rodentia; Caviidae.
GAGGAAAGCACAUGGGAUUGGUGAAUGGAGACCCAGUUCUUCCUACAAAUUUUUAAAAAUGCCUGCACCCCGCCCACCCUGAGGCUCUAGCUGGGAAGUCGAGCUGCUGGACAAGGCGAUCUUCAGGCUUGCCAUGGCUCCCUGGGGAUGCUGUGGCUCAGGAUGAAGUCAAAGCCUCC